This is a non-coding RNA of Eriocheir sinensis (Chinese mitten crab), 77 nucleotides long. Lineage: Eukaryota; Metazoa; Arthropoda; Malacostraca; Decapoda; Varunidae. The record is from the annotation of a RefSeq genome assembly.
UUCUUCGUGGUGCAGUGGUUAGCACACUCGGCUUACAACCGAGAGAGCCUGGGUUCGAUUCCCGGGCGGAGUGGAAA